This is a long non-coding RNA of Spinacia oleracea (spinach), 495 nucleotides long. RefSeq lists it as uncharacterized. NCBI's taxonomy places the organism in Eukaryota, Viridiplantae, Streptophyta, Magnoliopsida, Caryophyllales, Amaranthaceae. The transcript is spliced from 3 exons. The record is from RefSeq and is a predicted model, not a curated record.
CUUGCUUUCAUUUUCGGAUUCCCUCCUUCGUGCUUUCCUUUUCUUUUUCCUUUCACCCCGUGGAAAACCCUAACUCUUACAGUCUUACUCCAUCUCUUCCGCCCCCAUUUUCUCCCUCCUCUCCCUUCUUCGAUUUCCGCCAUUGAAAUUCGCUCUCUUCCCUUUUCCUCAUCUCUCCUGCAAUUCAUACUCCAUAGACUUGGCGAUGCUUUUCAUCUUCCACAAAAAUGGUGUCCGGUGGAUCGAUAGUGCCGCAUCAACUUCACUUUACGAAGCUCUCUCGUCUUUCCGUCUUCAUUUUCGCUCUUUCUAAUGUUACAAGAUGUUUGGGAUUCAAAAGCUGGUGCUAAACUUCUUGACUUGGAUCUUCUCAAGGGGCAAUUCCGGUGAUAGUAAGCUCACCAAAGAUGGAAACACCUUUUGAGAGAAAUGGGCUCAAUUCUAAAACAUUCUCCAUCUUCGGUUUCGUCUUCCUUCAACCUCCUCUUCUCUCAC